UUAAAUUCCUUGAAGAGGAAAAGUACUAUAGUAGAUGUUUUAAGCGAGUAGAGGAUGGUGUAAGCUCUAUAAACUAUAUUAUAAGAAAAGAGCCUUUGAGAAGCGGCCCUAAAUGUUUUAAUUUUAAAGCAGAAUAAGGCUAGCCGUUAAUUACGUUAAAAUUAUUAAGUGGAUGAUUAUUAAUAAUAUCAUCAAUUGGAGUGGUACCGCGGAUAUAUCCGUCUCUUUU
This 229-nucleotide non-coding RNA is filed under the name Clostridium fallax. RNAcentral's name for it is "T-box sequence". It matches the Rfam family "T-box leader". Rfam says of the family: Uncharged tRNA acts as the effector for transcription antitermination of genes in the T-box leader family. T-boxes are found upstream of many aminoacyl-tRNA synthetase genes and some amino acid biosynthetic genes usually in Gram-positive bacteria. The record is from RNAcentral. Lineage: Bacteria; Bacillati; Bacillota; Clostridia; Eubacteriales; Clostridiaceae.